CGGUUUUCUAUCUGUCAUUCAUCAUUUUGUCGAUGCAGAUACCUUUCGGAGUGAUUUUGUGUUAUAAAAUUAAUAGUGUGAAAAAUAAAUGAAAAUAUGAUACCCAGCGUGAAGAGACCAAUCAGUAGCGUACGAUCGGACACGGGUGGGCUAGGAAGCUCUGUCAACGCACGUAGCCAGUGCACAUAAGAUCGUCGCUCGAAGCAGUCCUUAUCCAAGGAUUACCGGAUGCUAGUCCGAUUGGACCAACCUUUGACGGCCUGUUCGGACUUCCAGGUUUCAUUUCCAGUUACCUUCACGAGGCUUGUUUCACUCUGCCCGCUUUACAGAACCGUGUCUGUACCGGUGCCCGCUCUAUGCCCGGCCCAUCUUCCUGCACCUUUAAUACAUCCAAACGCUGAACACCAUCUGGUGUUGUACCGGCGGCCGUCCCUGCGCUUCCCAUCCCACCACAACUCUCAUUAUUUGGGGGUGGGGAGGUGACUUCCUGCCGUCCAACUACAGAUACGAUGGUGGUAUCAUGCUGCAGAAAAUGUACAUCGGCAAUCAGCAUCGGGUCUGGCUGUUAUGGAUGUGGCUCAAUAAAUAAUUGUGUUUGUUUUUAUAACUCAAACUAACUUUUUACGCAAAUAAAACCACUAAAAUUAAAAAAAAA
Anopheles gambiae (African malaria mosquito) is the source of this 655-nucleotide long non-coding RNA. RefSeq lists it as uncharacterized. The record is from RefSeq and is a predicted model, not a curated record. NCBI's taxonomy places the organism in Eukaryota, Metazoa, Arthropoda, Insecta, Diptera, Culicidae. The transcript has 2 exons.